AUCUGUACAGUAAUUUAAUUUGAAAGAGGCUAGACUGCACAGGGCUUUACAAGUAUAAAGCAUAAAAAGAUUUUUAUAAUGUCUAACCUCUUUCAAAUAAAAUUACUGUACAGACUUAAUUGCACUACGCUGCUCAAAAAUUCUAAAGCUCAAGUAUGCAAAUAAUCACACGCUGCACCCUUUUUGCAAUGCCCACUUUCAUGGUACGUGCACACUCUAUGCCCUCUGAAGGGGGGCCUAGAAGAGUCUCCCCUGCCAAAUGAUGACUGCUUAUUCCAUGGCUUGCCUCCACCAUAACCGGUGUCUCCACCCUGAGAACCACCAUCCCUUUGGCUUGAGUAUCUGUCCCCAUUGUUCUUUUCACUUCCCCAUGACCCCAUGUUCCCUGGAGAUGCUGCCCAACUGGGAUUUGCAUUCCCAGGAGGUGGCCCUUGGCCAGGUGCAACCCAAGCUGGAUUGGCAUUUACUGGUGUUUGAACUUGGCCAGGUGGCACCCAACCUGGAAAUGCAUUUCCCUGUGCUUGACCCUGAACAGGAGCAGCCCAACCCAGAUUUGCGUUUCCAGGUGCUUGCGCUUGCCCAUGCGCAACCCAGCCUGGGUUUGCGUUUGCAGGUGCUGGCCCCUGACCAGAUACAACCCAACCCUGAUUUGAAUUUGCAGACACAGGUCCUCCCCAGCCCAUGUUUGGAUUUCCUUGAACCGGCCCCCAACCAAUAUUUUGAUUUUCUAGCC
This 733-nucleotide unclassified non-coding RNA is filed under the name Hevea brasiliensis (rubber tree). The record is from RNAcentral. Lineage: Eukaryota; Viridiplantae; Streptophyta; Magnoliopsida; Malpighiales; Euphorbiaceae.